CAGUCGCCGCGGUAAUACGUAGGGAGCAAGCGUUGUUCGGAUUUACUGGGCGUAAAGGGCGCGUAGGCGGCGCGGUAAGUCACUUGUGAAAUCUCUGAGCUUAACUCAGAACGGCCAGGUGAUACUGCUGUGCUAGAGUGCGGAAGAGGCAACCGGAAUUCUUGGUGUAGCGGUGAAAUGCGUAGAUAUCAAGAGGAACACCUGAGGCGAAGGCGGGUUGCUGGGCCGACACUGACGCUGAUGCGCGAAAGCCAGGGGAGCAAACGGGAUUAGAUACCCCCGUAGUCCCUGUCUCUUAUAC
This 301-nucleotide ribosomal RNA is filed under the name uncultured bacterium. RNAcentral's name for it is "partial 16S ribosomal RNA". It matches the Rfam family "Bacterial small subunit ribosomal RNA", at positions 509 to 807 of the family's 1533-position model. The record is from RNAcentral.